Molecule: ribosomal RNA, 274 nt
Filed under: uncultured bacterium
Lineage: Bacteria
Description: partial 16S ribosomal RNA
Rfam family: Bacterial small subunit ribosomal RNA
Source: RNAcentral
UACGUAGGGGGCGAGCGUUGUCCGAAGUUACUGGGCGUAAAGCGCGCGUAGGCGGCUUCUUAAGCCCGGGGUGAAAGGUCCACGGCUCAACCGGGACAGUGCCCUGGGGACUGAGAGGCUCGAGGCCGGCAGGGGGGGGCGGAAUUCCCGGUGUAGCGGUGAAAUGCGUAGAUACCGGGAGGAACACCGAUGGCGAAGGCAGCCCCCUGGGCCGGUCCUGACGCUGAGGCGCGAAAGCGUGGGGAGCGAACGGGAUUAGAAACCCCCGUAGUCC